Oncorhynchus keta (chum salmon) is the source of this 157-nucleotide long non-coding RNA. RefSeq lists it as uncharacterized. The transcript is spliced from 2 exons. The record is from RefSeq and is a predicted model, not a curated record. NCBI's taxonomy places the organism in Eukaryota, Metazoa, Chordata, Actinopteri, Salmoniformes, Salmonidae.
AGUGGAAUAGAAUGGAGUUUAUUCAGAGAGAGAAAGACAGUGGAAUAGAAUGGAUUUUAUUCAGAGAGAGAAAGAAAGAAAGAAAGUGGAAUAGAAUGGAGUUUAUUCAGAGAGAGAAAGAAAGAAAGUGGAAUAGAAUGGAGUUUAUUCAGAGAGA